CAUGUAGUUAGCCGGGGCUUCUUAGUCAGGUACCGUCAUUUUCUUCCCUGCUGAUAGAGCUUUACAUACCGAAAUACUUCUUCACUCACGCGGCGUCGCUGGAUCAGGGUUCCCCCCAUUGUCCAAUAUUCCCCACUGCUGCCUCCCGUAGGAGUUUGGGCCGUGUCUCAGUCCCAAUGUGGCCGUUCACCCUCUCAGGCCGGCUACCGAUCGUCGCCUUGGUGAGCCUCUACCUCACCAACCAGCUAAUCGGACGCGGAUCCAUCUUAUACCUAUAAAUAUUUUACCCCUGCACCAUGCGGUGCUGUGGUCUUAUGCGGUCUUAGCGGAAAUUUCUCUCCGUUAUCCCCCUGUAUAAGGCAGGUUAUCCACACGUUACUCACCCGUCCGCCACUAAGUCUGUUAAAAUUUCAUCCGAAGACUUCCUUUAACAGCUUCGUUCGACUUGCAUGUGUUAAGCACGCCGCCAGCGUUCAUCCUGAGCCAGGAUCAAACUCU
RNAcentral lists this ribosomal RNA (498 nucleotides) under uncultured Lachnospiraceae bacterium. Its description in RNAcentral is "partial 16S ribosomal RNA". Lineage: Bacteria; Bacillati; Bacillota; Clostridia; Lachnospirales; Lachnospiraceae. The record is from RNAcentral.